Molecule: ribosomal RNA, 497 nt
Filed under: uncultured bacterium
Lineage: Bacteria
Description: partial 16S ribosomal RNA
Rfam family: Bacterial small subunit ribosomal RNA
Source: RNAcentral
GAUGAACGCUGGCGGCGUGCCUAAUACAUGCAAGUCGAGCGAACGGACGAGAAGCUUGCUUCUCUGAUGUUAGCGGCGGACGGGUGAGUAACACGUGGAUAACCUACCUAUAAGACUGGGAUAACUUCGGGAAACCGGAGCUAAUACCGGAUAAUAUUUUGAACCGCAUGGUUCAAAAGUAAAAGAGGGUCUUGCUGUCACUUAUAGAUGGAUCCGCGCUGCAUUAGCUAGUUGGUAAGGUAACGGCUUACCAAGGCAACGAUGCAUAGCCGACCUGAGAGGGUGAUCGGCCACACUGGAACUGAGACACGGUCCAGACUCCUACGGGAGGCAGCAGUAGGGAAUCUUACGCAAUGGGCGAAAGCCUGACGGAGCAACGCCGCGUGAGUGAUGAAGGUCUUCGGAUCGUAAAACUCUGUUAUUAGGGAAGAACAUAUGUGUAAGUCACUGUGCACAUCUUGACGGUACCUAAUCAGAAAGCCACGGCUAACUACGUG